Molecule: ribosomal RNA, 440 nt
Filed under: uncultured bacterium
Lineage: Bacteria
Description: partial 16S ribosomal RNA
Rfam family: Bacterial small subunit ribosomal RNA
Source: RNAcentral
CCUACGGGUGGCAGCAGUAGGGAAUAUUGCUCAAUGGGGGAAACCCGGAAGCAGCAACGCCGCGUGGAGGAUGAAGGUUUUCGGAUUGGAAACUCCUUUUGUUAGAGAAGAGAAUGACGGUAUCUAACGAAUAAGCACCGGCUAACUCCGUGCCAGCAGCCGCGGUAAUACGGAGGGUGCAAGCGUUACUCGGAAUCACUGGGCGUAAAGAGCGCGUAGGCGGGAUAGCAAGUCAGAUAUGAAAUCCUAUGGCUUAACCCUAGAACUGCAUUUGAAACUGUUAUUCUAGAGUAUGGGAGAGGUAGGUGGAAUUCUUGGUGUAGGGGUCAAAUCCGUAGAGAUCACGAGGAAUACUCAUUGCGAAGGCGACCUGCUAGAACAUAACUGACGCUGAUGCGCGAAAGCGUGGGGAGCAAACAGGAUUAGAUACCCCAGUAGUC